AGUGAACGCUGGCGGUAGGCCUAACACAUGCAAGUCGAACGGCAGCACAGUAAGAGCUUGCUCUUACGGGUGGCGAGUGGCGGACGGGUGAGGAAUACAUCGGAAUCUACUUUUUCGUGGGGGAUAACGUAGGGAAACUUACGCUAAUACCGCAUACGACCUACGGGUGAAAGCAGGGGAUCUUCGGACCUUGCGCGAUUGAAUGAGCCGAUGUCGGAUUAGCUAGUUGGCGGGGUAAAGGCCCACCAAGGCGACGAUCCGUAGCUGGUCUGAGAGGAUGAUCAGCCACACUGGAACUGAGACACGGUCCAAACUCCUACGGGAGGCAGCAGUGGGGAAUAUUGGACAAUGGGCGCAAGCCUGAUCCAGCCAUACCGCGUGGGUGAAGAAGGCCUUCGGGUUGUAAAGCCCUCUUGUUGGGAAAGAAAAGCAGCAGGUUAAUACCCCGCUGUUCUGACGGUACCCAAAGAAUAAGCACCGGCUAACUUCGUG
Molecule: ribosomal RNA, 492 nt
Filed under: uncultured bacterium
Lineage: Bacteria
Description: partial 16S ribosomal RNA
Rfam family: Bacterial small subunit ribosomal RNA
Source: RNAcentral